UUGGCCCAUUCCUCCUGACAGAGCUGGUGUAACUGAGUCAGGUUUGUAAGCCUCCUUGCUCGCACAAAGUUUUUCAGUUCUGCCCACAAUUUCAAAAGGAUUGAGGUCAGGGCUUUGUUAUGGCCACUCCAAUACCUUGACAUUGUUGUCCUUGAGCCGUUUUGCCACUAUGCUUGGGGUCAUUGUCCAUUCGGAAGACCCAUUUGCGACCAAGCUUUAACUUCCUGACUGAUUUCUUGAGAUGUUGCUUCAAUAUAUCCACAUCAUUUUCUCUCCUCAUGAUGCCAUCUAUUUUGUGAAGUGUACCAGUCCCUCCUGCAGCAAUGCACCCCCACAACAUGUUGCCACCCCCGUGCUUAACGGUUGGGAUGGUGUUCUUCGGGCUUGCAAGUCUCCCCCUUUUUCCUCCAAAACAUAACAAUGGUCAUUAUGGCCAAACGGUUCUGUUUUUGUUUCAUCAGACCAGAGGACAUUCCUCCUAAAAUUACAAUCUUUGUCCCAUGUGCAGUUGAAAACCGUAGUCUGGCUUUUUAUGGCGGUUUUGGAGCAUUGGCUUCUUCCUUGCUGAGCGGCCUUUCGAGUUAUGUUGAUAUAGGACUCGUUUUACUGUGGAUAUAGAUACUUUUGUACCUGUUUCCUCCAGCAUCUUCACAAGGGAUUGUUUGGCACUUUUCGCACCAACGUGCGAUUGUCUCCUUCCUGAGCGGUAUGACUGCUACGUGGUCCCAUGGUGUUUAUACUUGCGUACUAUUGUUUGUACAGAUGAACGUGCUACCUUCAGGUGUUUGGAAAUUGCUCCCAAGGAUGAACCAGACUUGUGGAGGUCUACAAUUGUUUUCUGAGGUCUUGGCUGAUUUCUUUGCUUUUUCCCAUGAUGUCAAGCGAAGAGGCACUGAGUUUGAAGGUAGGCCUUGAAAUACAUCCACACUCCAAUUGUCUUAGGCUAAUUGACAUCAUUUAUCAGAAGCUUCUAAAGCCAUGACAUCAUUUUCUGGAAUUUUCCAAGCUGUUUAAAUGCACAGUCAACUUAGUGUAUGUAAACUUCUGACCCACUGGAAUUGUGAUACAGUGAAUUGUAAGUGAAAUAAUCUGUCUGUAAGCAAUUGUUGGAAACAUUACUUGUGUCAUGCACAAAGUAAUGUCCUAACCGACUUGCCAAAACUAUAGUUUAUAAACAAGAAAUGUAUGGAGUGGUUGAAAAACAAGUUUUAAUGACUCCAAUCUAAGUGUAUGUAAACUUCUGACUUCAACUGUAUAUAUACACACAGAAACAAAGCAUUUACCUUUCAAAAUCAAGCUUAUGUCAGAUUCACACAUUUGUACAUCUAUGACUCUGCACUGACUAUGCCAUGUAGCUUGACUGUGCUACACUUCUAUGCUGUGCUCGAGUGGGCCGAUACACUGACUUGCCCUUGUACACUGGCAGGGUACCACCACUGGUUUAGGUAAUGCCCUAUCAUGCUGUAGGUUAAGGAAUUACUUUAGAACAUCACAAAGUUCAUCUGGAAGACUGACGCAGGCACUUUUUCUCUUCUCUGUGUGAAUCUACAGCACUUGCUGUGUUGCUGCAUAGAUGGUACUGUAUUUCCGAUCAACUACUGAACUAUUACCCCAAUUGUAAAGGGGUGUUUUCAGGAUGCUGGUUAUGAUUUCAAUAUUGAAGGACAUUGUUUUAGUACCUACUUACAGUAUCAUACCCUAUGCCAGUUUAGAUUGUCGUAGACAUAUUCCAGGAUUUUGAAGAUUUAACUAUCUGUGUUGUGUUCCUUAGGCACCAAAUGGAAGAGAAACUCAUAUAAAAACCUGUUUAGCCCAUAUUUUAGAAAUCUGCUCUGCAUGUUGGGUGUUAGUAGAACUGCACGAGUGUGGUUUUUAAAGAGGAAAUCAUCAAGUCAGUAUUUAUCGGUGUGGUUCUCUUGGGCUCAACCAUUGCCUUCAUGAGGGAAAAGCAACAACAUCAAACUGUUUAAUAGGUAAUAAUGUUACUUUUACUUUUGUGCGAAUCCUUGAAGGGCAAGCACCACUGUCUAUCACUUGGCUUGCCUGAACAAAGACACACAGCUUUAUGCCCACAUUCUCUACCACUUGAACAUCUUCUGAGAUGAUUUUUGACUGUUAACCAUUGUCACCUAUGUCAAAUAUAUAUUCUUCAAUUUAAAUGUAUGAAUAAAAAUGUUUGUAGUUGGA
Long non-coding RNA from Oncorhynchus masou masou (cherry salmon), 2187 nucleotides. RefSeq lists it as uncharacterized. The record is from RefSeq and is a predicted model, not a curated record. The transcript has 2 exons. Lineage: Eukaryota; Metazoa; Chordata; Actinopteri; Salmoniformes; Salmonidae.